GUUUGACUGGUACUGUAUAUUUAUUUUUUAUUGGUCUGCGAGCCUACAAAAGGGGGGCUGGCCUGCGGCCCAUCCCUGCUUUAUGAGUACUAUUUCACUCAACUGUCUCUUUCCAUUCCUCUGUCUCUUUCAUCAAUGCUGCUGUGAAUCUAUGAAUCACUUUCAAGUGUACAGUUAUGCAUUGACUGUGCUCCCUUAUGGCUCAGGUGGACCAGGCUGCUGCAGGCAUCCUGGCCCUGGGUUUGAAGAGGGGGGACAGACUGGGCAUGUGGGGACCCAACACAUGAGUGGGUCCUGUUCUAGUUUGACACAGCCAAGGCUGGCAUCAUACUGGUAUACACUGACACUGAUGGCAUGUAGAAGGAGGAAUCUUAAUGUGGGAAAAGUGUUAGUUUUUGCACCCUCUUCGUGUGUACAUUAAAGAAGAUGUUUUCAGUGGUUAUGUUUUGUUCUGUUAACCCAACCUAUCAGGUGCAGGAGUUUCAGUUUGCUUCGAGGAAGGUGGGUCAUUUGAGUUGGCAGUCAUUUCAUGUCAUAUAUUUUGUUCUAUGAGAACAGUACUGGGUGUGGUGCGCUUAAGUAGGAUGGGCCGCUGAUUGCUUUUGAAACAUUUUAUGAUGAUGAUAAUGAUGUUGAUGUUCAUUGGUGGUAAUACGUGUUAUGCAGUUGUAAUGCAAGCAGGUGAAUGUAAUAUUCUCUUCUUUGCUGGUUUUGACCCAGGUGGGAUGCAAUGCCAUUAUGUGCCCGACCCAGUUUAAGACCCAGAAGUAUUGUGGCAUUCUCAGAUAGAGAAUCCCUGGAUCUAUCCCUGGAUCUGUCAAGAGUGCCAGGUGUACCUUUGUCUACGGCAAUCCUACUAUGUACAUCGACAUGCUGGGCCAGCCUGACUUGGCCAAGUUCGACUUGUCGUCAGUGGAGGGAGAUUGCCUAUGGAACUAUGGAGAACAGACCUGUGACAUUCUGUGGCUUCCCAUGAGACAACUUGGUGAGAAAGUCACAAACUUGGAUGCAUUACCAAUAACUUAGAGGCUAAGGUAGUUGACCCUGGCUCUGGAGAGCUCAAGCCUCUUCAGGGACUACUGUAUGAUGCUGGAGUACUGGGAAGGCCGUUGCCAAGACAGACGAGUGCAUCACCAAAGAAUCAAAGCCAUUGUGUUGAGCUCAAUUGUACCAACAUUUUUGCAGAACCCGUUGGACCAAUGUUAUGUUUUAGCAGGCACAGGUUAACAGGAAAGGGAGGCCAUGUACAGCAAAGUGCUUUACACAGCACAGUCAACUAAACACCGACAGCCAAAAGAUUUUGUACUAUUUUUAGGACCAACCCUGAUUAUCUUGUGACAGCUUUGAAAACCACCUCAUCAAUCUGUGACUGUGACAAGCUGUGACAAUCUGUGACAAGCUGCUUUUUACACCAAAUAAAGGUUUUACACUUUUUA
Molecule: long non-coding RNA, 1436 nt
Organism: Oncorhynchus kisutch (coho salmon)
Lineage: Eukaryota; Metazoa; Chordata; Actinopteri; Salmoniformes; Salmonidae
Exons: 4
Source: RefSeq, a predicted model, not a curated record